UUUCUUCUGCCCCAGGAUCCUUGUUUCUACUCAUUCUCCUCCUAAGAAAACCUCCUUAUGGUUAACUCCAACUUGAAUAAGGAAGUGUGUGAAGGACAGGUCCAAGCUGUUGUUCCUCUUCAAGAUGUAGUAGCUAUCAAUAUUUUCCUCAUGCUAUAUAAAACCAGCUUCCACCAACACAGAUUUCAGUAAGUGAUCCCACAAUCAUCUGGCCAAUGCACACGUUCAUUCCAUUGAACACUGUCCCACAAAUUCUGCAGACUUGCUGGGAACUACAGCUGCCUGAACACACUGCCUACAGCAUUGCUCAGGAGAAGUAUCAUGGAUAACAGUCUAAUGGUUUUCCUUAAAUAUCUUGCCAAAUAAACAUCUCCCUAGAAAAUCAUAUUGCAAAUUGAAAUAAACACUACAAAUAAAUGAAGUAUUUUCAUUUUCUGGAAUCAGAACAAUGUCUUUGAUAAAUAGACACAAUCUGGUUACAUAAUCUACUUCAGGUUAAGAUCACUUUAAUAUUGUUUUGCAUUCUCUACUUCAGCUGCCUGUUCCUAUAUGAUGCUUAUUAUCAGAAAAGCAAGCAAUUACCGAGACA
Molecule: long non-coding RNA, 589 nt
Organism: Zonotrichia leucophrys gambelii
Lineage: Eukaryota; Metazoa; Chordata; Aves; Passeriformes; Passerellidae
Exons: 4
Source: RefSeq, a predicted model, not a curated record